AUGGAGCGGCCGGGGGAGCAACGGGAGCUGCCCAGGCUGCCGGCUGGAGGGGGCCCGGCGGCGGGAGCCGCCACCGGCCUGGCGGCCGUGCUUAUCUUCACCAUCGUGGUGGACGUGCUGGGCAACGCGCUGGUCAUCCUGUCUGUGCUGCGGAACAAGAAGCUCCGCAACGCCGGCAACAUCUUUGUUGUCAGCUUGUCCGUUGCAGACCUUGUGGUUGCAGUUUAUCCGUACCCUCUGAUCUUAAGUGCCAUCUUCCACAAUGGAUGGACCAUGGGAAACGUCCACUGCCAGAUAAGUGGGUUCCUGAUGGGCUUGAGUGUCAUCGGGUCCAUUUUCAACAUCACGGCGAUCGCGAUCAACCGCUACUGCUACAUCUGCCACAGCCUUCGGUACGACAAGCUCUUCAACCUGAAGAACACCUGCUGCUAUCUCUGCCUCACCUGGGUGCUCACAGUGGUGGCAAUUGUGCCAAACUUCUUUGUUGGCUCCCUGCAGUAUGACCCCCGGAUUUACUCCUGCACCUUUGCCCAGACGGUGAGCACGUCGUACACCAUCACGGUGGUGGUGGUUCACUUCAUCGUCCCGCUCUCCGUCGUGACGUUUUGCUACCUACGGAUCUGGAUCUUGGUGAUUCAAGUCAAACACCGGGUGAGACAAGACUGCAAGCAGAAACUCAGGGCGGCUGACAUCCGAAACUUCUUGACUAUGUUUGUGGUUUUUGUCCUUUUUGCUGUGUGCUGGGGACCAUUAAACUUUAUUGGCCUUGCUGUUUCAAUUAAUCCUUCAAAAGUGCAGCCACACAUUCCAGAAUGGCUUUUUGUCCUGAGCUAUUUUAUGGCCUAUUUUAACAGCUGCCUCAAUGCUGUGAUCUAUGGGCUUCUUAACCAGAAUUUUCGGAAGGAAUACAAAAGGAUAUUGCUGACACUGUGGACUCCCAGGCUGCUGUUCAUUGAUGUGUCCAAGGGCGGGACAGAAGGGAUGAAAAGCAAGCAUUCUCCAGCCAUAACAACCAACAACAACCACGCUGAAAUACACCUAUGAGUCAGGACUACUAUUUAUUCUGGAUUACAGUUGUAUAUAUAAUAUAUAAGAGCCUUUCUAGCUGUGUGCAUUGCACAGCUGGUGUUGCCCUCAUGCAAGGAAGGAGUCUGCAACCUUUCAUGCUUAGCUUAUUGCUGUGACAUCAAGGCUUUGAAUAAGAAUUUUCAGAAGGGAAAUAACUGAUCUUUUUUUUUUUUAAUGUCAUCUUUCACUGUGUGCCUAAUUAAUCGGUUUGGUUGCUUUUGCCACAAGCAUGCCAAUACCCGAAAAGGGAAGCGUUCAGAGUGCAUGGAGAAAUGCAGUUAUGCUUGAAAUGCAACCUUCAAGAGGCAGCAAAAUUGCCAUUUAUUACCCACAAACCUUUCUCCCCUCCCUCUGAAUUCUAUUUUUCUAUCAUUAACUUAACCUGAACUGUAUCAAACAAAGUGUAAACUGCAUGGCUUUUUACAUUAUAGAUAAGUAACCAUAUUAGCCAGCAGGUGUAUGUAUGGGCAUGGUGUGUGUUUUCCUUUUUCCUUUCUUUUAAGGUUUAGGAGCUAGCCUGGGCUAGAUGUGAGGCAGGCAGAAGCCAGACCACUGUGUGUCUGAUGCACUCAUUUUAAUUGAGUAUCUACAGACAUUAAGUACCCUUGCACUCUCCUUCCCAGGCCAUGAGUAAGUAUAUGACAUAUGACAUAAUCUAAUUGUAGUAAGAUACUUGGAGCCUGAUUCUAAUUUAGGCAGUAUCCUAUCAUGGCCAGCAGUCAUUCCAAACAUCUUUCAAUAGUCACUGCUACAUGAACAUCACAAUAAAAAAGAUGAACAUAGCAGAGUCCCAUCUGUGUAACACAGAUUGCGACUUUUAAGUUCCAGUAACAUUUACACUUGCAGACAAAGGCAGAAGGGGAAGACAGUGUUGUUACAAAAAUCCCUCUUUUUGCCCAUCACAGAACAUGAAUUUGCUGAUGGGAGAAAAAGUGGAGGUUGUUUUCCCAUUUUAUUCACAUACAGAACUGUAAUUAACUCACAGAGUGGGGAGACGAAAGCUGCUUAAGCAUAAUUAUGCAUCAGUUCUGUUUAAGCCUGGACUCUGCUAUCUGUAUCAUUGGAAACAAUGUCAUGAAGUUCUGGGGAGGCCAGUAUCACAUUAGACAUAAGCACAUGGGCAAAGAUAGGGCUGUUUCUUUAAUGGAGUGUGAAAGGGGUGUGUGUGUGUGAUGGCAGCUGUCUGUAGAUAGGACUUCUUUGUUUCCUUAGCUUCAUUGUGAAUUCAUCUCUUUAUGGCUUUAAAUGUGGAUCCUGCUUUGAAACAAUCCCAUAAAAUGAACAUGUAAGACUCCCCUGGUGCAACUCUACCUUGAGGUUAGCACCCCUGCUGGUGUGCUGAGGGGCACAGCAGGGAGAGGGGCUGGUCUGAGCCCUGGGGGUCUAACGAGGACAGCAGGCAGCCCUGCCCCUGGUCAAGGACUGCAGUCUUCUCUCUUUGGUUCUAGUCAGGACUAGUUCCCAGCACUGAGCCUGAAAGACCAAGACCAGACUUCGGAGGCUCCUGGACACAGAGGCUCCAAAGUUAACAGCCAGCAAGUAUUUGAAACAAACCAAGUCCAAAGAAGUCCUGAACAGGCAAGCUGAGAGAGUCCCUUCUCCACCUGGCAGGAAUGGGAGCAGCAGGAGCACGAUAGGGCAUCUCCCCAGGGCUCACGGAGUCACCACUCAACCAAACUAUGCAAAAUGAUCUGCUCCUCUUCUGCCACAGGCUCUGAGCCCAGCUGCUGCCCAGGUCUCUGCAGGGGACAGGCGAAG
Camarhynchus parvulus is the source of this 2826-nucleotide RNA transcript. It is a transcript of the gene named G protein-coupled receptor 50, with no coding region annotated. The transcript is spliced from 3 exons. NCBI's taxonomy places the organism in Eukaryota, Metazoa, Chordata, Aves, Passeriformes, Thraupidae. The record is from RefSeq and is a predicted model, not a curated record.